This 619-nucleotide ribosomal RNA is filed under the name uncultured organism. RNAcentral describes it as "bacterial SSU rRNA". It matches the Rfam family "Bacterial small subunit ribosomal RNA", at positions 187 to 824 of the family's 1533-position model. The record is from RNAcentral.
CAUAUGUACAUCCCACUAAAGCUUUAGCGCUUCGGGAUGAGUCUGCGUCCUAUCAGCUUGUUGGUAGAGUAAAGGUCUACCAAGGCUAAGACGGGUAACUGGUCUGAGAGGAUGGUCAGUCACAGUGGCACUGAAACACGGGCCACACUCCUACGGGAGGCAGCAAUUAGGAAUCUUGCACAAUGGAGGAAACUCUGAUGCAGCGACACCGCGUGAAGGAUGAAGACCCUCGGGUUGUAAACUUCUUUUAUAAUCUAACAAGUUCUGAGUGGAGUAUGAAUAAGCACCUGCUAACUGCGUGCCAGAAGCAUCGGUGAAGCGUGGGGUGCGAGCGUUAUCCGGAUUUAUUGGGCGUAAAGAGAUGCGUAGGCGUUUUGGUAAGUCUUCUGUCAAAGCCUUCGGCCUAACCGAAGAAAGGCAGAGGAUACUAUCAGAAUUGAGACAGAGAGGGGGAAGUGGAAUUCCCGGUGGAGCGGUGAAAUGCGUUGAUAUCGGGAGGAACACCAGUGGCGAAGGCAACUUCCUGGCUCUGUUCUGACGCUGAGGCUCGAAAGCGUGGAGAGCAAAGCGGAUUAGAUACCCGUGUAGUCCAUGCUGUAAACGUUGGAUACUGGACGUU